UACCAACUUAGACUGAGUUAU
RNAcentral lists this microRNA (21 nucleotides) under Schistosoma japonicum. RNAcentral's name for it is "sja-miR-2e-5p". Its record names the gene sja-miR-2e-5p. Lineage: Eukaryota; Metazoa; Platyhelminthes; Trematoda; Strigeidida; Schistosomatidae. The record is from miRBase by way of RNAcentral.